Molecule: ribosomal RNA, 518 nt
Filed under: uncultured bacterium
Lineage: Bacteria
Description: bacterial SSU rRNA
Rfam family: Bacterial small subunit ribosomal RNA
Source: RNAcentral
GAACGUACCCUUCGGUUCGGAAUAACUCAGGGAAACUUGAGCUAAUACCGGAUACGCCCUUUUGGGGAAAGGUUUACUGCCGAAGGAUCGGCCCGCGUCUGAUUAGCUUGUUGGUGGGGUAACGGCCUACCAAGGCGACGAUCAGUAGCUGGUCUGAGAAGAUGAUCAGCCAUACUGGGACUGAGACACGGCCCAGACUCCUACGGGAGGCAGCAGUGGGGAAUAUUGGACAAUGGGCGCAAGCCUGAUCCAGCCAUGCCGCGUGAGUGAUGAAGGCCUUAGGGUUGUAAAGCUCUUUUGUCCGGGACGAUAAUGACGGUACCGGAAGAAUAAGCCCCGGCUAACUUCGUGCCAGCAGCCGCGGUAAUACGAAGGGGGCUAGCGUUGCUCGGAAUCACUGGGCGUAAAGGGCGCGUAGGCGGCCGAUUAAGUCGGGGGUGAAAGCCUGUGGCUCAACCACAGAAUUGCCUUCGAUACUGGUUGGCUUGAGACCGGAAGAGGACAGCGGAACUGCGAGU